AUUGAACGCUGGCGGCAGGCCUAACACAUGCAAGUCGAGCGGAUGAAGGGAGCUUGCUCCUGGAUUCAGCGGCGGACGGGUGAGUAAUGCCUAGGAAUCUGCCUGGUAGUGGGGGAUAACGUCCGGAAACGGGCGCUAAUACCGCAUACGUCCUGAGGGAGAAAGUGGGGGAUCUUCGGACCUCACGCUAUCAGAUGAGCCUAGGUCGGAUUAGCUAGUUGGUGGGGUAAAGGCCUACCAAGGCGACGAUCCGUAACUGGUCUGAGAGGAAGAUCAGUCACACUGGAACUGAGACACGGUCCAGACUCCUACGGGAGGCAGCAGUGGGGAAUAUUGGACAAUGGGCGAAAGCCUGAUCCAGCCAUGCCGCGUGUGUGAAGAAGGUCUUCGGAUUGUAAAGCACUUUAAGUUGGGAGGAAGGACAGUAAGUUAAUACCUUGCUGUUUUGACGUUACCAACAGAAUAAGCACCGGCUAACUUCGUG
This 484-nucleotide ribosomal RNA is filed under the name uncultured bacterium. RNAcentral's name for it is "partial 16S ribosomal RNA". It matches the Rfam family "Bacterial small subunit ribosomal RNA", at positions 30 to 507 of the family's 1533-position model. The record is from RNAcentral.